AGCCUGGUGGUGUACUGGUAACACGUCCUCUCCAAAUGCAUAACCCUUUGACUAAGUCAAGAGGAAGAACCCUGUUCGAUUCGGGGUCGGGCUG
This is a non-coding RNA of Mycena galericulata, 94 nucleotides long. Lineage: Eukaryota; Fungi; Basidiomycota; Agaricomycetes; Agaricales; Mycenaceae. The record is from the annotation of a GenBank genome assembly.